CACGUAGGGCGCAAGCGUUGUCCGGAAUUAUUGGGCGUAAAGAGCUCGUAGGCGGUCUGUUGCGUCCGCUGUGAAAACCCGGGGCUUAACCCUGGGCUGGCAGUGGAUACGGACAGACUAGAGGUAGGUAGGGGAGAAUGGAAUUCCCGGUGUAGCGGUGAAAUGCGCAGAUAUCAGGAAGAACACCCGUGGCGAAAGCGGCUCUCUGGAACGGUACUGACGCUGAGACGCGAAAGCGUGGGGAGCGAACAGG
RNAcentral lists this ribosomal RNA (253 nucleotides) under uncultured bacterium. RNAcentral describes it as "partial 16S ribosomal RNA". It matches the Rfam family "Bacterial small subunit ribosomal RNA", at positions 524 to 776 of the family's 1533-position model. The record is from RNAcentral.